Molecule: signal recognition particle RNA, 292 nt
Filed under: Physeter macrocephalus (sperm whale)
Lineage: Eukaryota; Metazoa; Chordata; Mammalia; Artiodactyla; Physeteridae
Description: Physeter catodon (sperm whale) Metazoan signal recognition particle RNA (ENSPCTG00005021349.1)
Rfam family: Metazoan signal recognition particle RNA (bases 63-265)
About the family: The signal recognition particle (SRP) is a universally conserved ribonucleoprotein. It is involved in the co-translational targeting of proteins to membranes.
Source: Rfam by way of RNAcentral
GGCCGGUUUUUAACCCCCUAAUGGAAAAGCCCCUACCCGGGGUCGAGUGUGUUGGGAAAGUAAGGAUUUCUGGGCUGUAGCGCACUAUGCCGAUCAAGUGUCCGCACUAAGUUCAGCAUCAAUUUGGUUACCUCCCCGGGAGCGGAGGACCACCAGGUUGUCUAUGGAGGGGUGAACUGGCCCAGGUCAGAAACGGAGCAGGUCAAAACUCCCAUGCUGAUGAGUAGUGGGACUGCGCCUGUCAAUAACCAUUGCACUCCAGCCUGAGCAACUUAGCAAGACCCUGUCUCUU